UUAUUGAACAGUCUUUAUUUGUGUGGUAUUCACAAUCCACACAGUCUAUGCUUGUAGUAUUCAUAAUCAAAUGUCUACCUUCCCCUUCAGUAAGUCUCUUAACAAUUGAUACAAAGUUCUUUUAAGGUCAUAAAGUGUUUCUAUUUAGAAAUGUUUGAUCUUACAGAUUUCUAAAUCAAUGCAACACAUAUGAAAUAGACUGAGUACUAGCCAUCACCUAGGAUUCAGAAUAAUUAAUGGACAGUCAUCAGCCAGUGGAUCAAAUAGCAAGCAGUCAUGUAACACCUAUAAAACAGAAUGCAAGCUUAUGCAGAUUGAAACACGGAAGGUAGAGCAUUUACAUGACGGGAAUGUUUCCUGGGCAAAGAGUGACUCCAAGGAAGUGACUUCAUUUUCCUCAAGAAAUGUAGGUAUCACGAUAAACCAUUUAUUUCGCAUGAGUUGCUAAAAAUGUAUAUGGAUGUGAAAAUGGCAGUGAUGUAAACGUCAUGAUAUGGGGUGGGUAAGCUGUAUGUGAAACCCCUUUAAUGAAGCUGUUAAUAGCAGGUAACUCGACAUGUUCACUUGCUGGUUGGAGCGGCAGGCAGGAGGCGAGCGCCGGCCUCGCGCUCUGGAGCAGAGGGCCGUGCCGGUGCACAGGGGGCAGCCGGGGAGGAGCAGGGAUGGCGUUUCGUUCCACUGGUUGUGAAUGCAGUCCUGCAGCCUUGCUAAUACCAGUCAUCAGUUCUCCUUGGAAGCCUGUGACCCCGCAGCGGGUGGCACUGUGCAGCAGCACCCCGGAGCUCAGCUGUACCGAGGCCAUCUUCACCAGCUCCCUUCCUGCUGUGUCCCAUUCCGUCCUCCUCGGCCUGCUGCCCUCACCCAAGGUACCGGCACCUACGAAGAAGCCUGUGUCACACAACAGCGUAACGCGCCUCAGCAGAUAAAAUGGCUGCAGGUGUUAUGUGGAUCCAGGCCACCAAAGUGGAAAAGGUUUGCACAAGAGCUGUGGGCGCAGUGGGGCCAAAGCAACAUCCCCGCCGCG
Molecule: long non-coding RNA, 1024 nt
Filed under: Strigops habroptila (Kakapo)
Lineage: Eukaryota; Metazoa; Chordata; Aves; Psittaciformes; Psittacidae
Description: lncRNA (ENSSHBG00005012017.1)
Source: RNAcentral